GCAUAUCAAUAAGCGGAGGAAAAGAAACCAACAGGGAUUGCCUCAGUAACGGGCGAGUGAAGCGGCAACAGCUCAAAUUUGAAAUCUGGCCCCCGGCCCGAGUUGUAAUUUGCAGAGGAUGUUUCUGGCGAGGUGCCUUCCGAGUUCCCUGGAACGGGACGCCAUAGAGGGUGAGAGCCCCGUACGGUUGGUCGCUAAGCCUCUGUGAAACUCCUUCGACGAGUCGAGUAGUUUGGGAAUGCUGCUCUAAAUGGGAGGUAUACGUCUUCUAAAGCUAAAUACCGGCCAGAGACCGAUAGCGCACAAGUAGAGUGAUCGAAAGAUGAAAAGCACUUUGAAAAGAGGGUUAAAUAGUACGUGAAAUUGUUGAAAGGGAAGCGCUUAUGACCAGACUUGGGCCGGUUGAUCAUCCAUCGUUCUCGGUGGUGCACUCUGCCGGCUCAGGCCAGCAUCAGUUCGGCGCGGGGGAUAAAGGCUUCGGGAAUGUGGCUCCUCACGGGGAGUGUUAUAGCCCGCUGCGUAAUACCCUGGGCUGGACUGAGGUACGCGCUCCGCAAGGAUGCUGGCGUAAUGGUCAUCAGUGACCCGUCUUGAAACACGGACCAAGGAGUCGUCUUCGUAUGCGAGUGUUCGGGUGUCAAACCCCUACGCGGAAUGAAAGUGAACGUAGGAGAGAGCUUCGGCGCAUCUCCGACCGAUCCUGAUGUUCUCGGAUGGAUUUGAGUAAGAGCAUACGGGGCCGGACCCGAAAGAAGGUGAACUAUGCCUGUAUAGGGUGAAGCCAGAGGAAACUCUGGUGGAGGCUCGCAGCGGUUCUGACGUGCAAAUCGAUCGUCAAAUAUGGGCAUGGGGGGCGAAAGACUAAUCGAACCUUCUAGUAGCUGGUUCGCCGA
RNAcentral lists this ribosomal RNA (893 nucleotides) under Paragliomastix luzulae. RNAcentral describes it as "LSU rRNA". It matches the Rfam family "Eukaryotic large subunit ribosomal RNA", at positions 38 to 964 of the family's 3401-position model. Lineage: Eukaryota; Fungi; Ascomycota; Sordariomycetes; Hypocreales; Bionectriaceae. The record is from RNAcentral.